UUAGGAAUCUUCCACAAUGGACGAAAGUCUGAUGGAGCAACGCCGCGUGCAGGAUGAAUGCCUUAGGGUUGUAAACUGCUUUUAUAUGUGACGAAUAUGACGGUAGCAUAUGAAUAAGGAUCGGCUAACUCCGUGCCAGCAGCCGCGGUCAUACGGAGGAUCCAAGCGUUAUCCGGAUUUACUGGGCGUAAAGAGUUGCGUAGGUGGUAAUUCAAGUGAAUAGUGAAAUCUUGUGGCUCAACCAUAAGGCUAUUAUUCAAACUGAGUUACUCGAGAAUGAGAGAGGUCACUGGAAUUUCUUGUGUAGGAGUGAAAUCCGUAGAUAUAAGAAGGAACACCAAUGGCGUAGGCAGGUGACUGGCUCAUUUCUGACACUGAGGCACGAAAGCGUGGGGAGCGAACG
This 403-nucleotide ribosomal RNA is filed under the name uncultured Candidatus Saccharibacteria bacterium. RNAcentral describes it as "bacterial SSU rRNA". It matches the Rfam family "Bacterial small subunit ribosomal RNA", at positions 355 to 774 of the family's 1533-position model. The record is from RNAcentral. Lineage: Bacteria; Candidatus Saccharimonadota.